RNAcentral lists this ribosomal RNA (430 nucleotides) under bacterium. RNAcentral's name for it is "partial 16S ribosomal RNA". It matches the Rfam family "Bacterial small subunit ribosomal RNA", at positions 355 to 776 of the family's 1533-position model. The record is from RNAcentral.
UGGGGAAUAUUGGACAAUGGGCGCAAGCCUGAUCCAGCCAUGCCGCGUGUGUGAAGAAGGCCUUUUGGUUGUAAAGCACUCUAAGCGAGGAGGAGGCUACUUGGAUUAAUACUCUAAGAUAGUGGACGUUACUCGCAGAAUAAGCACCGGCUAACUCUGUGCCAGCAGCCGCGGUAAUACAGAGGGUGCGAGCGUUAAUCGGAUUUACUGGGCGUAAAGCGUGCGUAGGCGGCUUCUUAAGUCGGAUGUGAAAUCCCUGAGCUUAACUUAGGAAUUGCAUUCGAUACUGGGAAGCUAGAGUAUGGGGGAGGAUGGUAGAAUUCCAGGUGUAGCGGUGAAAUGCGUAGAGAUCUGGAGGAAUACCGAUGGCGAGGGCAGCCAUCUGGCCUAAUACUGACGCUGAGGUACGAAAGCAUGGGGAGCAAACAGG